Molecule: microRNA, 22 nt
Filed under: Petromyzon marinus (sea lamprey)
Lineage: Eukaryota; Metazoa; Chordata; Hyperoartia; Petromyzontiformes; Petromyzontidae
Description: pma-miR-1788a-3p
Source: miRBase by way of RNAcentral
CAGGCAGCUGAAGCAAGCCUGA